Molecule: non-coding RNA, 1828 nt
Organism: Aegilops tauschii subsp. strangulata
Lineage: Eukaryota; Viridiplantae; Streptophyta; Magnoliopsida; Poales; Poaceae
Source: RefSeq, a predicted model, not a curated record
UUUAGACCGCGAUCCUCUGCUUCAUCUUAUCCAAACUCCCCCUCUCCAGCGACGGCGGAUCACAAGCAGGUGAGGGGCGGCGCCGUGCUCCCCGACUUCUGCCUCCAUCCCAUCUUCGCGCCGUCGUUCGUCCGCACGGACGCCGGCGGCUACCGCGCCCCGGAGGUGCUGGACACGCGGCGGCCCACGCUGAAGGCAGACGUCUACUCCCUGGGCGUGCUCCUGCUGGAGCUCCUCACCGGCAAGUCCCCUACUGCAGGAGGGUGUCGGCGGCACGCUGGACCUGCCCGGUUGGUGCAGUCGGUGGCGCGCAAGGAGUGGAUGGCCGAGGUGUUUGACGUGGAGCUGGUGUGGCUGGGCGCCAGCGCCGAGGAGGAGAUGGCCGCGCUGUUGCAGGCACCGGCAGAGCUACGGCAUAGAGGCAACAACUCGAAACUCCACGGUCUGCAUGCAGCAACACAACGCCACGUUCUGCAUGCGGCAUGAGCAGCUCCACUCACGAUUCAAAUUAUGCAGCUGUAUAGGAUAAUCCCUUUUGUUUAGGUUUCCAAUAUUUUUCAGUUCAAUUCAGUUGCAGAUUCAUCCAACUCAUCUCCAUUGCCACACACGAAUAGGCUUAGAUUUUGAUUUUUGUUCAGUUUCGUUCAGAUUUUCAUUAUUCCAAUUUUGAUUUUGGUUCAGUUUUGGUCAGGUUUUCAUUAUUUUUCAGUUGAAUUCAGUUGCCGAUUCAUCCAACUCAUCUCCAUUGCCAUGCACAGAAAGGCUUAGAUUUCAUUUUGGGUCAGUUCAGUUCAGAUUUUCAUUAUUUUUCAGUUGGGUUCAGUUUCACAUUCAUCCAACUCAUCUGGGAACACAAUGAUAAGUGUCUCUCUCUCGUUGGUGAGGUAACCUGGGCAGUGCUGUUUGAGACCGUUGGUGAGGGACUACUACGGCGAGCUCGGCAUGAGCAAAGAUGCCGGCAGGGUGAGAUCAAGAACAAGAACUGAAUGUUGUUCCCGAUGGAAUGCUGGUCAUAGAUGCCAUGCGGCGGACUCCCGCAGCCGCAGCAGAGGAGCCGGAACUUGCAGCAACAUCUACGACACCCUCCCAACGAGCUGGAGGUAGGAAAUGUCGUACAUGAUGGCCUGACGACAACCACUAGAAAUAUUGAGUUUUUUUAGGGAAUGUUGAUGAUUUAGUCCGGAGAUUAUGUUUCUACUUGAUCAUCAAACAAGGUGUCCGCUGGGCGCAAGUAUAACCUAUCAAGGUGUUCGCGCAGUGUAGUCAAAUGGCAAUACAAGUUAUGGCUACAAUGCUGCCAACGGCUACUACGGUGUCUUUACCGCUUCUGGAAUAUUGAACGAUCCAUCAAAGCACCUUCCGAGGUGUUGCAUAGAGCAUGCCGUUGAACAUGAAGGGUUUGAGCUAAGAAAUACUUGCAGACUGCCAAUGUAUUAAUGGUUAGGCAUUUUUGGAUUUAUCAUGUUUACAUGCUUACCAGGGUAACCAUAGCGGCUUCAUUGCACCAUACCCGAAACUGAGAUCUUUGGGACGGUGCGAGGUGCUACUGGACCAGUAGAUACAGUGAUUACCUGUCCAGGCAGCGCUCACAUCAUCCUGCGCUAGCUCCUCGACUUGGACGACAACAGUUGUUGAUGAAGUCUACUCAGCCAUCGCCAUGCUAUUGUUAGUAAAUCAAGCAUUCUUUUCAAGAAUAUUGUUCCACGUACAUGAGAAUAAUGUCCCGGGUUGAAGAAAAAAUAAUUAUACAUGUCAAUUUUGAAAAUAUAAGAUGCGUCUUUGGAUAAUGAUUGCUCAAGGUAGCUGAAUAAACCUGCAAUCACCAUAA